AAAAUGAAGUUAAUAAACCUUGCCCACUGCGCCAGACCAAGCAAUGUUUCAAGAAAGAAUCACUGUGUGUAAGUUUUCGCCGCGCAGUUUAGCGCUGGCAAUAGAAUACUGUAAUGAUCCUCUUCCGUAGGGGGACCUGCGGAAGGAUCAUUACAGUAUUCUUUUGCCAGCGCUUAACUGCGCGGCGAAAAACCUUACACACAGUGAUUUCUUUCUUUGAAAACAUUGCUUUGGUCUGGCGCAAGUUGGGCCAAAGGUUUAUUAAACUUCAAUUUUAUUGAAUAGUUAUUAACGAUAGUCAAUUUGUUGAUUAAAUUCAAAAAUCUUCAAAACUUUCAACAACGGAUCUCUUGGUUCUCGCAUCGAUGAAGAACGCAGCGAAUUGCGAUACGUAAUAUGAAUUGCAGAUUUUCGUGAAUCAUCGAAUCUUUGAACGCACAUUGCGCCCUUUGGUAUUCCAAAGGGCAUGCCUGUUUGAGCGUCAUUUCUCUCUCAAAUCUUCGGAUUUGGUUUUGAGUGAUACUCUUAGUCGGACUAGGCGUUUGCUUGAAAAGUAUUGGCAAGAGUGGUGCUUUUUAGUGCUAAGCUGUUUCAAUGUAUUAGGUUUAUCCAACUCGUUGAAUGCGGCAUAGGACAGAGAGUGCGUGGGCUCGGCCUUACAACAACAAACAAAGUUUGACCUCAAAUCAGGUAGGAUUACCCGCUGAACUUAAGCAUAUCAAU
This 723-nucleotide ribosomal RNA is filed under the name Kurtzmaniella hittingeri. RNAcentral describes it as "eukaryotic LSU rRNA". The stretch from base 331 to 484 matches the Rfam family "5.8S ribosomal RNA". The record is from RNAcentral. Lineage: Eukaryota; Fungi; Ascomycota; Pichiomycetes; Serinales; Debaryomycetaceae.